AUGGCUCAGGAUGAACGCUAGCGGCAGGCUUAACACAUGCAAGUCGAGGGGCAGGCGCGGAGUAGCAAUACUCUGACGGCGACCGGCGAAAGGGUGAGUAACGCGUGAGGCAACAUGCCCGAUAGAGGGGGAUAGUCAUUGGAAACGAUGCGUAAUACCCCGGUAACAUUCGGAACCGCAUGAUUCUGAAUUGAAAGAUUUAUUGCUAUCGGAUUGGCUCGCGUACCAUUAGCUAGUUGGCGGGGUAACGGCCCACCAAGGCGACGAUGGUUAGGGGUUCUGAGAGGAAGGUCCCCCACAUUGGAACUGAGACACGGUCCAGACUCCUACGGGAGGCAGCAGUGAGGAAUAUUGGGACAAUGGCCGAGAGGCUGAUCCAGCCAUGCCGCGUGCGGGAGGACGGCCCUAUGGGUUGUAAACCGCUUUUGUUGGGGAGCAAUAAGUCUUACGUGUAAGAUGAUGAGAGUACCCAGCGAAUAAGCAUCGGCUAACUCCGUGCCAGCCGCGGC
This 509-nucleotide ribosomal RNA is filed under the name uncultured bacterium. RNAcentral describes it as "bacterial SSU rRNA". It matches the Rfam family "Bacterial small subunit ribosomal RNA", at positions 19 to 518 of the family's 1533-position model. The record is from RNAcentral.